GGGCCUAUGGUUCAGUGGUAGAACAUCGCAUUCGCAUUGCGGAAACAGCGGUUCGAUUCCGCUUAGGUCCACCA
Molecule: transfer RNA, 74 nt
Filed under: Candidatus Magasanikiibacteriota bacterium
Lineage: Bacteria; Candidatus Magasanikiibacteriota
Description: Candidatus Magasanikbacteria bacterium tRNA-Ala
Rfam family: tRNA
About the family: Transfer RNA (tRNA) molecules are approximately 80 nucleotides in length. Their secondary structure includes four short double-helical elements and three loops (D, anti-codon, and T loops).
Source: RNAcentral